GAUGAACGCUGACAGAAUGCUUAACACAUGCAAGUCAACUGUGGCGGACGGGUGAGUAACGCGUAAAGAACUUGCCUCACGGAUAGGGACAACAUUUGGAAACGAAUGCUAAUACCUGAUACUGUGAGAGAGCUUUGCGUCCCAUUAGCUAGUGGGAGUGGUAACGGCCCACCAAGGCGAGGAUGGGUAGCCGGCCUGAGAGGGUGAUCGGCAACAAGGGGACUUGGACACGGCCCGUACGCCUACGGGGGGCAGCAGUGGGGAAUAUUGGACAAGUGACCAAAGUCUGAUCCAGCAAUUCUGUGUGCACGAUGAAGUUUUCGGAAGGUAAAGUGCUUUCAGUUGGGAAGCGGUACCAACAGAAGAAGCGCCGGCUAACUCCGUGCCAGCAGCCGCGGUAAUUC
RNAcentral lists this ribosomal RNA (404 nucleotides) under uncultured bacterium. RNAcentral describes it as "partial 16S ribosomal RNA". It matches the Rfam family "Bacterial small subunit ribosomal RNA", at positions 28 to 526 of the family's 1533-position model. The record is from RNAcentral.